Molecule: long non-coding RNA, 313 nt
Organism: Nicotiana attenuata
Lineage: Eukaryota; Viridiplantae; Streptophyta; Magnoliopsida; Solanales; Solanaceae
Exons: 3
Source: RefSeq, a predicted model, not a curated record
GUUGUUUUCCUCAUUUUUUUUAGAUUCUGAUAACAAGACUCAAGAUGGAAAUUUGGAGAAAUCUUUUCAAUUGCUAGGCAAAAGGAAGGUCUGUAUUGUAUUGGAAGCUGGUAUGUGAAAAGAGUGGUCUAAUCCAUUGCUUUCGACUGAUCCCCAUGACAGAGCCGUGGCUCGAUUUUGGACUAAAUAUGUUGACAAUAAGGUAUAGACAAUCAGUAUGACGGGCCCUCAUAAUAGACAAGGUCAGCAUUCAGUGAAGGAUCAGUAAGACUCCACCUCAUUCGGAGUGCAGCCGAGUCUAUGAGUCAUCGUG